This 460-nucleotide ribosomal RNA is filed under the name uncultured bacterium. RNAcentral's name for it is "partial 16S ribosomal RNA". It matches the Rfam family "Bacterial small subunit ribosomal RNA", at positions 338 to 795 of the family's 1533-position model. The record is from RNAcentral.
CCUACGGGAGGCUGCAGUGAGGAAUAUUGGUCAAUGGACGAGAGUCUGAACCAGCCAAGUAGCGUGAAGGAUGACUGUCCUAUGGGUUGUAAACUUCUUUUAUCAAGGAAUAAAACGAGGCACGUGUGCCUUUUUGCAUGUACUUUAUGAAUAAGGAUCGGCUAACUCCGUGCCAGCAGCCGCGGUAAUACGGAGGAUCCGAGCGUUAUCCGGAUUUAUUGGGUUUAAAGGGAGCGUAGAUGGGUUGUUAAGUCAGUUGUGAAAGUGUGCGGCUCAACCGUAAAAUUGCAAUUGAUACUGGCAGUCUUGAGUACAGUAGAGGUAGGCGGAAUUCGUGGUGUAGCGGUGAAAUGCGUAGAUAUCACGAAGAACCCCGAUUGCGAAGGCAGCUUACUAAACUGUGACUGACACUGAGGCUCGAAAGUGUGGGUAUCGAACAGGAUUAGAUACCCCUGUAGUC